RNAcentral lists this ribosomal RNA (492 nucleotides) under uncultured bacterium. RNAcentral's name for it is "partial 16S ribosomal RNA". It matches the Rfam family "Bacterial small subunit ribosomal RNA", at positions 29 to 507 of the family's 1533-position model. The record is from RNAcentral.
AGUGAACGCUGGCGGUAGGCCUAACACAUGCAAGUCGAACGGCAGCACAGUAAGAUCUUGCUCUUACGGGUGGCGGGUGGCGGACGGGUGAGGAAUACAUCGGAAUCUACUUUUUCGUGGGGGAUAACGUAGGGAAGCUUACGCUAAUACCGCAUACGACCUACGGGUGAAAGCAGGGGAUCUUCGGACCUUGCGCGAUUGAAUGAGCCGAUGUCGGAUUAGCUAGUUGGGUGGGUAAAGGCCCACCAAGGCGACGAUGCGUAGCUGGUCUGAGAGGAUGAUCGGCCACACUGGAACUGAGACACGGUCCAGACUCCUACGGGAGGCAGCAGUAGGGAAUAUUGGGCAAUGGGCGCAAGCCUGACCCAGCAAUACCGCGUGGGUGAAGAAGGCCUUCGGGUCGUAAAGCCCUUUUGUUGGGAAAGAACAGCAGUAGAUUAAUACCUCGCUGUUCUGACGGUACCCAAUCAAAAAGCACCGGCUAACUACGUG